RNAcentral lists this unclassified non-coding RNA (708 nucleotides) under Hevea brasiliensis (rubber tree). Lineage: Eukaryota; Viridiplantae; Streptophyta; Magnoliopsida; Malpighiales; Euphorbiaceae. The record is from RNAcentral.
AAACAGAAACUUGGACUAACUAAUUAACAAAGUCUCAUAAUAAAUUAGUGGCUACUUUGAGUAGCUUAUGUACGUACUUCUCCACAUGAACGACUACAACAAUUCCAUCUGAGUAGGUCAGUCCAAAACCAGCCAAUGCCUUCUGAUCUACCAUUUCUAACAAAGCUUAUCAAGCGGCGUACAAGUUCUUAACUGCGAAUGCAGCGGAAUAAAUAAUGAGUAAGAAGAGUCAAUCCACGUGACGAUGGUUGCUGGCUCCAAAAGAAGAGGGCUUACUAUUAUUGCCUCUGUCAUUGUUUCCAUAGUGACUCGAAGAAAUCUUUUGCCUUGGAAACACAAAAAGCAAUUAUGGCAGCAAAAGGAGGAUUUGAAGAAACAUUUACCUGAGAUUGGUGAGUUGUUGGGUCAAUUCGUUAAUCUCAAUGGCAGAGAGUUUGGGGUGAAUGACCGUACUAGGUAACUCGGAAAGAAAAAUUCUGAAAUGGGAUAACAAUCCGAUUAAUUACGAAGAGGGGGUGGAUGUCAAUGGUCAGCGCUUGGCACGCUAUUUAUAUUAGCAUCCUAAGUUGGGAUACUAUUUUGAAUAGCAUCCUGAUGCGGUCGCACGCCACCCUUGCAGGCACCUGCAGGGUGCAGAUGGAAUAUUACGUCGCUAGAGAUGGGACACUACGUAGCAGGGUGCGGGACGCUAGUUUUAUUAGCGUCCUG